CCAACGGCUCUUUUCAGAGCCACUUCACGUUCACACAGUAGUAGCUG
Molecule: non-coding RNA, 47 nt
Organism: Camelus ferus (Wild Bactrian camel)
Lineage: Eukaryota; Metazoa; Chordata; Mammalia; Artiodactyla; Camelidae
Source: Rfam